RNAcentral lists this ribosomal RNA (253 nucleotides) under uncultured bacterium. RNAcentral's name for it is "partial 16S ribosomal RNA". It matches the Rfam family "Bacterial small subunit ribosomal RNA", at positions 524 to 776 of the family's 1533-position model. The record is from RNAcentral.
GACAGAGGGGGCAAGCGUUGCUCGGAAUCACUGGGCGUAAAGGGCGCGUAGGCGGGAUGGCAAGUCGGUCGUGAAAGCCUUCGGCUCAACCGAAGAACGUCGGCCGAUACUGCCGUUCUUGAGGGAUGCAGAGGAGACUGGAAUUCCCGGUGUAGCGGUGAAAUGUGUAGAGAUCGGGAGGAACACCGGUGGCGAAGGCAAUCCCCUGGGCCUGCACUGACGCUCAUGCACGAAAGCGUGGGGAGCAAACAGG